RNAcentral lists this transfer RNA (73 nucleotides) under Candidatus Wolfebacteria bacterium. RNAcentral's name for it is "tRNA-Thr". It matches the Rfam family "tRNA". From Rfam's summary of the family: Transfer RNA (tRNA) molecules are approximately 80 nucleotides in length. Their secondary structure includes four short double-helical elements and three loops (D, anti-codon, and T loops). Lineage: Bacteria; Candidatus Wolfeibacteriota. The record is from RNAcentral. RNAcentral also lists the same sequence under 1 other name.
GCCAAUGUAGCUCAGCUGGUAGAGCAACUCCAUGGUAAGGAGUAGGUCCGCGGUUCGAAUCCGCGCAUUGGCU